GAUGAACGCUGGCGGCGUGCCUAAUACAUGCAAGUCGAGCGAACAGACGAGGAGCUUGCUCCUCUGACGUUAGCGGCGGACGGGUGAGUAACACGUGGAUAACCUACCUAUAAUACUGGGAUAACUUCGGGAAACCGGAGCUAAUACCGGAUAACAUGAUGAACCGCAUGGUUCAACAGUGAAAGACGGUUUUGCUGUCACUUAUAGAUGGAUCCGCGCCGCAUUAGCUAGUUGGUAAGGUAACGGCUUACCAAGGCAACGAUGCGUAGCCGACCUGAGAGGGUGAUCGGCCACACUGGAACUGAGACACGGUCCAGACUCCUACGGGAGGCAGCAGUAGGGAAUCUUCCGCAAUGGGCGAAAGCCUGACGGAGCAACGCCGCGUGAGUGAAGAAGGUCUUCGGAUCGUAAAACUCUGUUAUUAGGGAAGAACAAAUGUGUAAGUAACUAUGCACGUCUUGACGGUACCUAAUCAGAAAGCCACGGCUAACUACGUG
RNAcentral lists this ribosomal RNA (497 nucleotides) under uncultured bacterium. Its description in RNAcentral is "partial 16S ribosomal RNA". It matches the Rfam family "Bacterial small subunit ribosomal RNA", at positions 28 to 507 of the family's 1533-position model. The record is from RNAcentral.